This 460-nucleotide ribosomal RNA is filed under the name uncultured bacterium. RNAcentral describes it as "partial 16S ribosomal RNA". It matches the Rfam family "Bacterial small subunit ribosomal RNA", at positions 338 to 795 of the family's 1533-position model. The record is from RNAcentral.
CCUACGGGAGGCUGCAGUGAGGAAUAUUGGUCAAUGGGCGCGAGCCUGAACCAGCCAAGUAGCGUGAAGGAUGACUGCCCUACGGGUUGUAAACUUCUUUUAUAAAGGAAUAAAACGAGGCACGUGUGCCUUUUUGCAUGUACUUUAUGAAUAAGGAUCGGCUAACUCCGUGCCAGCAGCCGCGGUAAUACGGAGGAUCCGAGCGUUAUCCGGAUUUAUUGGGUUUAAAGGGAGCGUAGAUGGGUUGUUAAGUCAGUUGUGAAAGUUUGCGGCUCAACCGUAAAAUUGCAAUUGAUACUGGCAGCCUUGAGUACAGUUGAGGUAGGCGGAAUUCGUGGUGUAGCGGUGAAAUGCUUAGAUAGCACGAAGAACUCCGAUUGCGAAGGCAGCUUACUAAACUGCCACUGACAUUGAUGCUCGAAAGUGUGGGUAUCAAACAGGAUUAGAUACCCCAGUAGUC